RNAcentral lists this long non-coding RNA (406 nucleotides) under Fukomys damarensis (Damara mole-rat). RNAcentral describes it as "lncRNA (ENSFDAG00000026050.1)". The record is from RNAcentral. Lineage: Eukaryota; Metazoa; Chordata; Mammalia; Rodentia; Bathyergidae.
CCUAACAUGCUUGUAAAAGCAUAGAUUUCUUUCUUUUUUUUUUUAAGCAUAGAUUUCUGGGACCAUCCCUGCAAAUAUACUGAAUCAGAGUCUCUAUUGCAAAGUUGGAAACUCCAUUUUGACAAAUAUUCCAGAUGAUCAUUAGGAUUUCUAAAAUUUGAGAACUACCAGACUCUGUUGAAGUUAAAUAUUGAAUCUGACAUCUUAAAGAUGGAACUUCCUGCAUGAAUGCUAACUGUGCAUGGGGUGUUGGAGAAGCAUUACUCCUGAAAAAAAACCCAGUUUUCCACACACAAUUGUUCAUCUGGUCCUGUUUGCCUGGCCCGUCUGAGUCUGUUUCUUCGUCAGAGAAGGAUUAUCAGUCCUAUGUUAUGGUCCUGCCAUGAGAACACAGUGUACUAGAAAC